AGGUCAAGCUACAAAGGGCUAACGGUGGAUACCUAGGCACACAGAGGCGAAGAAGGACGUAGUUACCGACGAUACGCUCCGGGGAGCUGGAAGCAAGCAUUGAGCCGGAGAUUUCCCAAUGGGGCAACCCCAAGAACGGUCACCUGAAUCUAUAGGGUGAUGCGAGCAAACUGGGCGAACUGAAACAUCUUAGUAACCCAAGGAAGAGAAAGCAAAAGCGAUUCCCCUAGUAGCGGCGAGCGAAGAGGGACAAGCCUAAACCAUCGACUAAGGUUGAUGGGGUUGUGGGACAGUGACGUGGACUGUAGCGGUUAAACGAAGCAGCUGAAAACUGCACCAGAGAAGGUGAAAGUCCUGUAGUUGAAAACUUAAGCAGCCUAACUGUAUCCCGAGUAGCACGGAGCCCGUGGAAUUCCGUGUGAAUCAGCGAGGACCACCUCGUAAGGCUAAAUACUCCUGUGUGACCGAUAGAGAAACAGUACCGCGAGGGAAAGGUGAAAAGAACCCCGGAAGGGGAGUGAAAUAGAACAUGAAACCGUUAGCCUACAAGCAAUGGGAGGACGAUUUAACGUCUGACCGUGUGCCUGUUGAAGAAUGAGCCGGCGACUUACAGGCUGUGGCAGGUUAAAUGGGAUGACCAUGAAGCCAAAGUGAAAGCGAGCCUGACAAGGGCGAUAGUCACAGUUUGUAGACCCGAACCCGGGUGAUCUAACCAUGGCCAGGAUAAAGCUAGGGUAAUACCUUGUGGAGGUCCGAACCGACUUCUGUUGAAAAAGGAGCGGAUGAGCUGUGGUUAGGGGUGAAAUGCCAAUCGAACCCGGAGCUAGCUGGUUCUCCCCGAAAUGCGUUUAGGCGCAGCGGUUGUGUACCUUAUGGGGGGGUAAAGCACUAUUUCGCUGCGGGCUGCGAGAGCGGUACCAAAGCGAGAUAAACUCAGAAUACCCUGUAAGCAUCAACCAGUGAGACGGUGGGGGAUAAGCUUCAUCGUCGAAAGGGAAACAGCCCAGACCACCAGCUAAGGUCCCCAAAUAAAUACUAAGUGAUAAAGGAGGUGGGAGUGCAUAGACAACCAGGAGGUUUGCCUAGAAGCAGCAAUCCUUGAAAGAGUGCGUAAUAGCUCACUGGUCAAGCGCUCCUGCGCCGAAAAUGAACGGGGCUAAGUAUUUUACCGAAGCUGUGGACUCAAUGAACAAUAAACAAUGAACAAUGAACAAUGAGAAUAAGAUUGUUAAUUAUUAAUUGUUAAUUAUUAAUUGUUUGGUAGGGGAGCGUUCUGUAUAGGGUGAAGCACUAGCGGCAAGCAGGUGUGGACAGUACAGAAGUGAGAAUGUCGGCUUGAGUAGCGAAAAUAUAUGUGAGAAUCGUAUACCCCGAAAUCCUAAGGGUUCCUCCGGAAGGCUCGUCCGCGGAGGGUUAGUCGGGACCUAAGGCGAGGCCGAAAGGCGUAGUCGAUGGAAACAAGGUUAAUAUUCCUUGACUGUGAUGAGGGAGUUUAGUUAGGGACGCAUGACGAUUAGUCAUACCCUGAAUGGAUUGGGAGGAGACUACGGUCUCUGCAUGAUGAACAAUAGUGCCAAGAAAAGCUAACUAAACGUUGAACUCAUGACACUCGUACCCGAAACCGACACAGGUAGGAAGGUAGAGAAUACUAAGGGGCGCGAGAUAACUCUCUCUAAGGAACUCGGCAAAAUGACCCCGUAACUUCGGGAGAAGGGGUGCCACCGAGAGGUGGUCGCAGUGAAUAGGCCCAGGCGACUGUUUACCAAAAACACAGGUCUCUGCCAAGUCGUAAGACGCAGUAUAGGGGCUGACGCCUGCCCAGUGCCGGAAGGUUAAGGAAGUUGGUUAGUUUCGACGAAGCUAGCGACCGAAGCCCCGGUGAACGGCGGCCGUAACUAUAACGGUCCUAAGGUAGCGAAAUUCCUUGUCGGGUAAGUUCCGACCCGCACGAAAGGCGUAACGAUCUGGGCACUGUCUCGGAGAGAGGCUCGGCGAAAUAGGAUUGUCUGUGAAGAUACGGACUACCUGCACCUGGACAGAAAGACCCUAUGAAGCUUUACUGUAGCUUGGAAUUGGGUUCGGGCUUCCUUUGCGCAGCAUAGGUGGGAGGCGUUGAAGUUUUCCUCGUGGGGAGAAUGGAGCCAACGGUGAGAUACCACUCUAGGGAGGCUAGAAUUCUAACUUAAGCCCGUAAUCCGGGUUAAGAACAGUUUCAGGUGGGCAGUUUGACUGGGGCGGUCGCCUCCUAAAAGGUAACGGAGGCGCGCAAAGGUUCCCUCAGGCUGGUUAGAAAUCAGCCGCAGAGUGCAAAGGCAGAAGGGAGCUUGACUGCGAGACAAACAAGUCAAGCAGGGACGAAAGUCGGCCUUAGUGAUCCGACGGCACCGAGUGGAAGGGCCGUCGCUCAACGGAUAAAAGUUACUCUAGGGAUAACAGGCUGAUCUCCCCCAAGAGUUCAUAUCGACGGGGAGGUUUGGCACCUCGAUGUCGGCUCAUCGCAGCCUGGGGCUGUAGUAGGUCCCAAGGGUUGGGCUGUUCGCCCAUUAAAGCGGUACGUGAGCUGGGUUCAGAACGUCGUGAGACAGUUCGGUCCAUAUCCGGUGUAGGCGUAAGAGCAUUGAGAGGAGCCUUCCUUAGUACGAGAGGACCGGGAAGGACGCACCGCUGGUGUACCUGUUAUCGUGCCAACGGUAAACGCAGGGUAGCCAAGUGCGGAGCGGAUAACCGCUGAAAGCAUCUAAGUGGGAAGCCCACCUCAAGAUGAUUGCUCUCACAGGGUUAACCUGGUAAGGUCACGGGAAGACCACCCGUUAAUAGGCACUCGGUGGAAGUCCAGCAAUGGAUGAAGCCAAGGUGUACUAACAGACCGAGGGCUUGACCUU
RNAcentral lists this ribosomal RNA (2882 nucleotides) under Crocosphaera watsonii WH 8502. Its description in RNAcentral is "LSU rRNA". It matches the Rfam family "Bacterial large subunit ribosomal RNA". Lineage: Bacteria; Bacillati; Cyanobacteriota; Cyanophyceae; Chroococcales; Aphanothecaceae. The record is from RNAcentral.